GCGCCUAUAGCUCAGCAGGAUAGAGCACCAACCUCCUAAGUUGGGUGUCGGACGUUCGAAUCGUCUUAGGCGCGCCA
Molecule: transfer RNA, 77 nt
Filed under: Clostridia bacterium
Lineage: Bacteria; Bacillati; Bacillota; Clostridia
Description: tRNA-Arg
Rfam family: tRNA
About the family: Transfer RNA (tRNA) molecules are approximately 80 nucleotides in length. Their secondary structure includes four short double-helical elements and three loops (D, anti-codon, and T loops). Further hydrogen bonds mediate the characteristic L-shaped molecular structure. tRNAs have two regions of fundamental functional importance: the anti-codon, which is responsible for specific mRNA codon recognition, and the 3' end, to which the tRNAs corresponding amino acid is attached (by aminoacyl-tRNA synthetases). tRNAs cope with the degeneracy of the genetic code in two manners: having more than one tRNA (with a specific anti-codon) for a particular amino acid; and 'wobble' base-pairing, i.e. permitting non-standard base-pairing at the 3rd anti-codon position.
Source: RNAcentral